CAUUAUAAUUGUCCCUGCUUUUCUGAGUUUGUGGAAAGUUAAAUCAGAGUCUUCAGACGAACAAAUGCUGGAGCACAAACAGAAAGUAAUGAGAGUCAGCAACUGUGCACAGAAAUGACUCUGUCUGUGCUUUUGUGUGUAUUUGUGUCUUCAGAUGGAAAAUAAGUGCCUCAAAGUAAGAGAGAUGGAAAGUUCAUUUCACAUUUUGACAUUUUCACAUGACAGAAUAUAUGUGUUUAUGUAGUUCAUGUUUAAUGACAAAACCCCCUAAAAUUAAUAAGGUCAUUUAAUAUCGUGUAUCAUUUUGGCCAGACAUAUUGAUAUCCAUUUGGAAGAACCCUGGAUCAAAUUAUACAACACAGAAACAGCCAUGUAAGGGCAGGCUUUAGAAAACAAAAGUGACUCCAGUUUUAAGUAUUUUUAAAGCUGGAGAGUGAAAAGUUGAAAGAAAUCCAAAAGAAAUUUGAACUCAAAAAAUAUUAAAUUUUUUAAAUGUGAAUACAUCCUUUAUGGGUCUUCGAAGGAACUAGUGAAAAUGGCUUACCUAACUUUGAGAUUCUUGUUGCUGUACUUCAUUCUAAAAGGUGGGUUAACAAUCUUAUAUUAAACAUUUUUGUUUUAUAUACACUAUACAGAUUAAAUGCUCACUUAUUGCUUUAUUUGAACAAAAUUUACCUUCUCUGCACUCUUUUGUCCUAUAUAUUUAUCUGUACUCAUUCUGUCAUUUUAACCAAUUACUUUUUGACUGAAAUCUCACUGAUUAUGUGGGCUUAUCUAUUCCCCAUUACCCACAGUGACUGCCAUAAAGCUCUGGUCUCCUCCCGGAUGGAUGAUUAAAAUGCCAUGUCAAUAUGAAUAUGAGGCUCAAGGAAGUAUCCAGCAGUUGUCCCUACAGUGGAGAAGCCCCAGGAACCAGCUCCUCUGUCACCUGAUCAAGCACAAAACGUACAGCAACUGCACAGCUGGAUAUUCAGUGCACUACAACCCAGGGAAUAUUACUCUCAUCAUCGCUGAGGUGAGGCAGGAGGACUUUGGGAGGCAUGUGUGUUCUGUGAGCAAGCUUCAUGAAUUCUCAGACUUCAGCAUUGAAUUAUACCAGAAGGAAGAUCUCUCUGCUGAAUUACCAAAAGGCAAGGUAGAUCAGUCAGGUUCUGCAAAGGAUCAUUUCUUCCUUCUUGGGUGCAGUCUUUUUGUAUCCAUGUUUGGGUAAUAGGACAAGAAUAAUGUUCAUCAUUACAAUAAUGAUCACCAGACUAAUGUUUCAUAUUAGAUGCCAUAUAUUCUGAGAUAGCAAUUACCUGGGAUUUAUACAGUCCAAAAAUAAGAAGUCAAUGUUUUAUUAUUGUUAUUUUUUUCAUAACAGUACCACUGGAUGGCAGUAUACUCAUAAAUAUCACUGAAACACAUUUUUUAAGCUACAAGGCCUAAAGUAGCCUACUUUAUAUAUAAAAUAAUAUAUAUAUAUAUAUAUAUAUAUAUAUAUAUAUAUAUAUAUAUAUAUAAAACAACAUAACACAAACACUACAAAAUGCAUUGCAUCAUUCAAAAUAAUGGAAAAAAAACACCUGUGGAAAAUCAAUAUGGAAAAUUCUAUCACAUCAGCAUGGUACAUUGGGCCCUAUUUUAUAGACUUUUCUUGGAAUGUCAUUUAUUUAUUUUAAAAUUAGAAUGGGUAUAAGAUUUAAGUUCUUUCGGACCUAUCAACCAAGUUGCUUUGUGCAUCAUUGUUGUCACUCAUUCAGAAUGCACAGUGUGUUUAUGCAUGUGCAUGUUUAAAUGUGUUAAUAGUGGGGGUGUGUAAUGCCAAAUCAGCAUGUCAAUUAAAUGACAAAAUAAAUACAACAAAACAAAGGUUUUAAAAUACAGAGUGACAUGUUGUGUACCAAGUUAUUUGCCUUUUUGAUGUUUGAUUGAUGCUUCUUUAAUCAGAAUUAAUCUAGGAUGUGAUGAAGUGACACUUCCAGAAUGAACACUGAGCAGCGCUCAUCUUUACAGACACAUUGGCUAGUAUCCAUUAUAGGGAUCUGUGACAUGAGCUUGCAUAAAAGAUUUUCACACAUGUAUGUGUGCCUGAAGGAUUCUGGACUGACAUGUCUGCCUCCUUUUCAAAGACAGUUCAGCCUUAGAGCAUUUAAUGUUCAACUUGCUAUUUUAGUCAAAGUCAUACAACAUAAUAAGGACACUGAUAGCUGGACACAAUGACAGUUGUGUAUAUGUUUAUAUAUUAAGAUGCUGUAACAAUAAAUCAAGUUCUCAUUGUUAUAAUUUAAUUAUGGCUAAUGUAAAUAUAGUAAAUUCUUAGUUAAUAAGUAUUUUGAAUUGUAUAUUAUAUAUUUAAAAAUGUAUAAAGGAGCAAAUGUGCUUGUAUAACAAGAAUGAAGAAGAAGAAAAAAGAUGCACCAGUAGUUGUACAUGUUUAACUGGAAUUAAGCAUGCCAUUUGAGAUACAGUGCUCUAAAGUUAGCUUUUAUUUUAAACUGUCAGCACAGGAUAAUACAUUAGGCUAUGACCUACAAAUUAAGGGUAUGUUUUUUUUAAAACUGUGGUGGUGCCAUGUUACACUGAUGGAAUCAGAUGAUGCCAUACUUUAACAGGCUUACUACUGUGUGGUACUUAAUCUUU
Long non-coding RNA from Cyprinus carpio carpio, 2622 nucleotides. Lineage: Eukaryota; Metazoa; Chordata; Actinopteri; Cypriniformes; Cyprinidae. The record is from Ensembl.